AAUGAUUUUUUGGUUUAAAAAAGUUGCACAAUCCAUGAGUCGUAGAGUCAUUCCCUAUCGGAUCAGACAUUAACAAAAUGUCUUUUUAAUAAAUAUUUUGUUGUAUGCCGUCAUGUCUUUGAAGCUGCUUGUUUGAAACGAGUAUUAAGGAUUUUAAGUUCAAAAAUUGGAUGAGAUGAGGAAUGUAGAAAAGAAAAAUAUGAACUCACAUUUGCAUAUGUAUUAUAUAUAUAGCAGGCACCAUUUCAAUAUCCCAUUUGGACGCCGAAUGAUCAACUUUGAGCCAAACUUCAAACUACUAAAUGGUCUAGAAGGAGCUUUUGCAGGACUGCUGAUCUUCUUUGUUUUCCAAUUUUUUUUAUCAUUUGAUUCUCAAAUCUAGUCACAAUAACUUUCCCACUCGAGGAAUCUGAAAAUUUCCAACUAAGUAAAUGAAUAUGGCCAUCUCUUCCACGCCCACUUCAUUUUCCAAAUCCCUAAAGCCCUCCCUUCCAAAAGCUAGAGUCUUCAACCUCCUUAAAACUCCUCCCAAUUCCCACCUCCGCUACACCCUCAAUCUCAAACCUCCACCUCCCCGGCUCCUCUUCCGCAUUGGCAACCCCAAAUCCAAAUCCCAAUUCAAGUCCCACCACAGUCCGAUUCGUUCCCUCUUUACUGGCAUUGUGGAAGAAAUAGGCAAGGUCAAGCAGCUGGGUUCCGACGAUGACGGCGGAUUCACCAUGACAAUCCAUGCGAAGACUGUCCUUGAAGACGUCAACCUUGGUGAUAGCAUCUCCAUCAAUGGUACCUGUCUUACAGUCACCCAUUUCGACACUCAAUUAUUUGAAUUCACUGUCGGAUUAUCGCCUGAAACACUCAGAAAAACGUCGCUGAUUGAGCUCCAAAUGGGCUCAUUGGUCAAUUUGGAGAGAGCAUUGAAACCAUCAACCCGAAUGGGAGGGCAUUUCGUUCAAGGCCAUGUUGAUGGGACAGGUGAAAUUGUGUCCACUGAGCCGGAAGGCGAUUCGUUGUGGGUGAAGGUGAAGACAACACCGGAGUUGUUGAAGUAUAUUGUGCCAAAAGGGUUCAUAGCUGUGGAUGGGACUAGUCUGACUGUUGUGAAGGUUUUUGAUGAAGAGGAGUGUUUUAAUUUCAUGCUAGUGGCUUACACUCAGCAGAAUGUGGUGAUUCCAUUGAAGAAAGUUGGGCAGAAGGUGAACUUGGAGGUAGACAUUCUUGGCAAGUAUGUGGAGCGGCUUCUCAAUAAUGGGGUUGUCAAUGCCAUCAAAUGAAAAGAUACAAGAGAAGGAAUAAUCUGUCUGGGCUUCAGCCCUAAACUGUUUAUUUUGUCUGUGAUAGAGGCAAAAUCCGGAGGAAGAAGCUAGAAGGACUUGACAUAAGGCUUUUAGGAAUUUGAACCUGAACAAAGUUUUUGAUUUUGACAAUUCAGGGAAUUUAGUUGACUUAUAUUCAGGAAAGAAGACAAUAUGAAGCAUCAAACAAUGGAUGUCAUUUCUCGAUUUGAACAUUUUUUAUGGAGGUCUUUAUAAAAUGGCGUCAUGAGUAAUACUUUUGAGUACUAUUGUAAUGUGACAAGUUUAUAUAUACCUUUUAGAUUAUGGCGUGGCCUAUUAGUUUGCUAGAAAUAUUGGAUCUAUUUUGCAUUACAAGCUUAUGUAAUGAACCUUUUAAUUAUGGUGUUUUGUAUAUUUUGGAAUUAUGAAAAUGCAGACUCUUUUACCUUUUA
This is a non-coding RNA of Camellia sinensis, 1726 nucleotides long. Lineage: Eukaryota; Viridiplantae; Streptophyta; Magnoliopsida; Ericales; Theaceae. The record is from RefSeq and is a predicted model, not a curated record.